Molecule: ribosomal RNA, 405 nt
Filed under: uncultured bacterium
Lineage: Bacteria
Description: bacterial SSU rRNA
Rfam family: Bacterial small subunit ribosomal RNA
Source: RNAcentral
CGGUCUUGAGUAAAGUGGCGCACGGGUGAGUAACACGUGACUAAUCUACCCUCGAGUGGGGAAUAACUGAGAGAAAUCUUAGCUAAUACCGCAUAACACUUACGAGUCAAAGCAGCAAUGCGCUUGGGGAGGAGGUCGCGGCCGAUUAGCUAGUUGGCGGGGUAAUGGCCCACCAAGGCGAUGAUCGGUAUCCGGCCUGAGAGGGCGCACGGACACACUGGAACUGAAACACGGUCCAGACUCCUACGGGAGGCAGCAGUGGGGAAUUUUGCGCAAUGGGGGAAACCCUGACGCAGCAACGCCGCGUGGAGGAUGAAGUAUCUUGGUACGUAAACUCCUUUCGAUGGGGAAGAUAAUGACGGUACCCAUAGAAGAAGCCCCGGCUAACUUCGUGCCAGCAGCCGC